AUGAUUGAAACUGAGAAACAUUUGGUUUUCCCACUGGUGUACAGAAUCAUAGAGUUGGCUUUGUUAUUGCCAGUCUCAACGGCAUCGGUCGAAAGAGCUUUCUCGGCAAUGAAGAUUAUCAAAUCUAAAUGGCGCAGCAAGAUGAAUGAUACAUGGUUUAAUGACUUGAUGAUUUGCUACACCGAGCGGGAGAUUUUUAAAGGACUUGAUGAUGAUGCUAUUAUUAAACGGUUUCAAGCCAUGAAGUAUCGGAAAGGGCAAUUGCCCAGGUCCAAUUAG
This 279-nucleotide ribosomal RNA is filed under the name Triticum aestivum (bread wheat). RNAcentral's name for it is "partial small subunit ribosomal RNA". Lineage: Eukaryota; Viridiplantae; Streptophyta; Magnoliopsida; Poales; Poaceae. The record is from RNAcentral.